AUUACAUAGAUUAUUCGUUAUGGAGUGUUCCACGUAGACAUUUUUCUACGGUGGCCCUGAAGUGCAAAUCACCACCACAAAUAGGAAGAAAACACAAACAAAACACAAAUUAAACAUCGCUUAGUGCGAUCCGCGCCCUCCCCUCUCGAUAAAUCUAAUUGGUAUCGCCCACCUCCUGUUUACCAGUCGGACCUUCCACUCACUCACGCGGAGCCAGCAGGAGCAGGAGCAGGAGGAGACACCGAGGAGGACGAGGAGCAGCGGGUACAAGCAUUUUGUAACUGCUGCUUAAAAAAUGAUCCACAUAUUUCUUAGAUGUUUUGUUGACGCUUUGUUCACACCUGCUGUUAACAUCCGACCCGAUUGAUCCGAUCACAGCUCUUUAUCGGGCAGAAUAGUGGGCGGAGUCUGGUUCUUCACGCUCAUCAUCAUCUCCUCGUACACGGCAAACCUGGCUGCCUUGCUUAUCGUGGAGAGGAUGGUGUCGCCUAUCGAAGAGGGUAUGGGCGCCGAGGAUCUGGCCAACAGACCGACAUCGCCUACGGCACUCCACCAAAGAGUUCUUCAGGCUCACAUUUACUGAAGCCAUGAGGAACAAGGCCCGUCUGUCCAUCACGGGCAGUGUCGGGGAGAGCGGACGGGUGCUGAUGCCCGACUGUUCCUAGGCCGUUCACGCCGGGCCUCCCCUCCGUCAGAGCUCCGGCCUCGCCCUGGUCUCCUCUGAGCUCCCGUGAAAACCAAAAACCUCUCAAGUGCCUUAAUUCCAAUAACAAUAGACAAAGAAAAAAAACACUCUUCACAUCAAUCACAACAACCACAAACUACCCACAAAGGAACAGGAGUCACACACACAACAUCAGGUCACCUCCAGGGGGGCGAGACAGCACCGACAGAGAAGCAGAAAGGUCAGGACUUGGCUCGACAACUUCCCCCUGAAGUCUGUGGAAACCAGAGGCAGACUGUUUUUAUUUUUACAAUUUUUUUUGAAUCAUGGGAAUCGACUCCAGUGACAGGGAAGGAAAACGAAAUAAUAUCAUGAUUUAUGAUAAAGACGAAGACCAGAAAACUGUAAACUUGAAACUCAAACAGUGUUUUUUUUUCCCUUUGGGAUCGCUGUGAAUUAGCAAAAACAAAAAAAACACUGUACCACAAUCAAGAUUGUUUGGAAACGGAACAGUAUUUGCUACACAAACCGCGUUCAUGAGACAACAAUCUUACUAGAUAUCAACAAGUGGCAGCACGGGCGAGAGCUGUUGCCCAGUGCUGUGAAGAUAUGAGGAAAAAUAUUUGUAUUCAUACAUUAAAAGUAAAAAAAAUAGAAGAAUCUAUGAAUAUAUGAGCAAAGAUUGAAAACUGUGAAAAUAAGUAAAUAUGUAUAUUCCAUGACAAACUAAAUAACUCUAGCUGUACAUAGGAGACAACUGUAUAACAUGCUUGCGUUUUAAAAGCUGUACAUAACAAAUACUGAUAACAAAUACUUUUUUGUUUUUGUAAAUCAUCUUCAAGGAAUUUAUGCAUCGCAAUAAUGAAAAAGAUGACGCCACUUGAAGGAGAAGCCGUGUUAAAGUGAUAGUUCAGUGUUUGUUUUUUCAAAGCUACUUUGAGCGUUGACUUCUGACACAUAAGCUGCUUAUUGGCCAUUUAACAAAUGGCUCAUCUUAUAAAAUCUAUGCCUGCUCAAGUCUGUGAUAUGUUAAGAAGAUGUUUGUCACUAUACCUCACUGUAAAGACGGAGUUUGUGCCACUUUGUAAACCGCUUACUCCCUGCACUGAAGCCCAUAGAGAAAAUCUAUGAUUUUAAAUCACAGCACAUCGGAGCUUCAGAUACUUUGGCAGGCUUUGAUUUUAUAAUGUGGGCCUUUUGUUGGGAGUGUGCAAGAAAUAGGAGGGUUCACUAGCAGAAAAUGUAAUAUAUUACCCAUAACUUUGUUUGUAUUACUCUAAUAUCACUUUAAAAUUAAAUACAAAAUGUUUGUGUUUUGUAGACCUAGAAUGAGUUUAAAUUUGUGAAGGCAAUUUAUUCCAGAGAAAAACAGGAUACCUUUGAAAAAUUACUGGAGGAAAGCCUCAGUGAAUUACAAUCUGCAGUCUCACCACCAGAUGGCACUAACUCUCACACCUUGAGCCUUUAAGUUAAAUGGCUAAAAACAGUUUUUUGCUUUUGUCCGCACCAUGUUUUCGGUGACGGUCGCACACAGUGUACAUUUCAGAAGGAAAAAACUAUCCCAAACUAUCCCUUUAAAUCUGGACUGUAUUUGUGUAGGAAACUUUCAGACUCUAAAUGUGAACAGGUAUCAACUGCCCAAAUACUUCUGAUACCUGGUGAAUACAAAUUAAUAUUAAUACUAAUAAUACUAAUAAUAAUAAUAAUACAAAAAAUAUAUAGUCAACAAUGAAUGUAAAACUAUAGCUCCACCCACACUCCUUAAGCCACACCCCUCACUGUGCAGACGUAGACCCAGAGAAAAAUGUCCGUCU
Long non-coding RNA from Solea solea (common sole), 2478 nucleotides. RefSeq lists it as uncharacterized. The transcript is spliced from 3 exons. The record is from RefSeq and is a predicted model, not a curated record. Lineage: Eukaryota; Metazoa; Chordata; Actinopteri; Pleuronectiformes; Soleidae.